Rhinopithecus bieti (black snub-nosed monkey) is the source of this 357-nucleotide unclassified non-coding RNA. Its record names the gene 7SK. It matches the Rfam family "7SK RNA". From Rfam's summary of the family: 7SK was discovered as an abundant small nuclear RNA in the mid-70s but a possible function has only recently been suggested. Lineage: Eukaryota; Metazoa; Chordata; Mammalia; Primates; Cercopithecidae. The record is from Ensembl.
GGAUGUGAGGGUGAUCUGGCUGUGACAUCUGUCACCCCAUUGAUCACUAGGGUUGAUUCGGCUGAUCUGGCUGACUGGGCGGGUAUCCCCUUCUGCCCUCACCGCUCCGUGUGUGUCCCUCCAGAAGCUGUGCGCUUAGUGGAAGAGGAUGACCAUCCCCGAUAGAGGAGGAUCGGUCUUCAGUCAAAGGUAUAAGAGUAGCUGUGCUCCCCUGCUAGGACCUCCAAACAAGCUAUCAGAAUGUUAUUUUUCUGUCUUAUGUCCAACCCCUCGUUAAAGUGUUCAUAGUAAAAACAUAUUUUAGAAGUGGAAGCACAACCAAGAAAAACAUGAGCCUGGCUUUCCUGCCUCUCACUU